GGUGAGGUGGCCGAGUUGGUCUAAGGCGUGAGACUAAGGUGUUCUUACCGUAUAAUCUCAUCUCUUCGGAGGCGCGAGUUCGAAUCUCGCCCUCAUCA
Clathrus columnatus is the source of this 98-nucleotide non-coding RNA. The record is from the annotation of a GenBank genome assembly. Lineage: Eukaryota; Fungi; Basidiomycota; Agaricomycetes; Phallales; Clathraceae.